GAUGAACGCUGGCGGCGUGCCUAAUACAUGCAAGUCGAGCGAACGGACGAGAAGCUUGCUUCUCUGAUGUUAGCGGCGGACGGGUGAGUAACACGUGGAUAACCUACCUAUAAGACUGGGAUAACUUCGGGAAACCGGAGCUAAUACCGGAUAAUAUUUUGAACCGCAUGGUUCAAAAGUGAAAGACGGUCUUGCUGUCACUUAUAGAUGGAUCCGCGCUGCAUUAGCUAGUUGGUAAGGUAACGGCUUACCAAGGCAACGAUGCAUAGCCGACCUGAGAGGGUGAUCGGCCACACUGGAACUGAGACACGGUCCAGACUCCUACGGGAGGCAGCAGUAGGGAAUCUUCCGCAAUGGGCGAAAGCCUGACGGAGCAACGCCGCGUGAGUGAUGAAGGUCUUCGGAUCGUAAAACUCUGUUAUUAGGGAAGAACAUAUGUGUAAGUAACUGUGCACAUCUUGACGGUACCUAAUCAGAAAGCCACGGCUAACUACGUGCCAGCAGCCGCGGUAAUACGUAGGUGGCAAGCGUUAUCCGGAAUUAUUGGGCGUAAAGCGCGCGUAGGCGGUUUUUUAAGUCUGAUGUGAAAGCCCACGGCUCAACCGUGGAGGGUCAUUGGAAACUGGAAAACUUGAGUGCAGAAGAGGAAAGUGGAAUUCCAUGUGUAGCGGUGAAAUGCGCAGAGAUAUGGAGGAACACCAGUGGCGAAGGCGACUUUCUGGUCUGUAACUGACGCUGAUGUGCGAAAGCGUGGGGAUCAAACAGGAUUAGAUACCCUGGUAGUCCACGCCGUAAACGAUGAGUGCUAAGUGUUAGGGGGUUUCCGCCCCUUAGUGCUGCAGCUAACGCAUUAAGCACUCCGCCUGGGGAGUACGACCGCAAGGUUGAAACUCAAAGGAAUUGACGGGGACCCGCACAAGCGGUGGAGCAUGUGGUUUAAUUCGAAGCAACGCGAAGAACCUUACCAAAUCUUGACAUCCUUUGACAACUCUAGAGA
Molecule: ribosomal RNA, 997 nt
Filed under: Staphylococcus aureus
Lineage: Bacteria; Bacillati; Bacillota; Bacilli; Caryophanales; Staphylococcaceae
Description: bacterial SSU rRNA
Rfam family: Bacterial small subunit ribosomal RNA
Source: RNAcentral